AGAGUCACCAUGUGAUCCCAGGGAAGAGAGGAUGCAUGCUGCUGGUGUCCUUGAUAAGGUGCCCUAACAACACUGAAACAAACCCAACAAUUAUUUGCAGUGGCCAAGGAAAUAAACAUACAACCUUGAGGCUUUGAACUUCAACUUCCACACCAAUACAAGCUACAAAUCAUGAGUGAGGACCAAAUGAUGUUGUCAGUUACGUGGGAACCAGGGGUCAUUCUUCCGUGAAUUCAGAGUCAGCACUGAAGGAAGAUGGCUUGACAACCAAGACCAACGGAAAGCCACAUGGCAGUGAGACAGCCUCUCUGGAAAGCCAGCAUCUGCCGUGGAGCAGUUGGUUCCACAUAAACAGGAAAUUUGAAGCCCCAAAUAUUUUGAUUCAGCCUUGUUUAAAAUUAUUGGUGAGACUGUAUGUUAAGAGGCUAAACAGUAUGAAGCUAGAUGCAUGUGGGCAGAAAAUAAUUGUUGAUACAACCUUUUGUUUGAAAAACGGAGAAGUUGAAAAUUUUACCUAGAGAAAUGAAAGAUUGA
Molecule: long non-coding RNA, 534 nt
Filed under: Cricetulus griseus (Chinese hamster)
Lineage: Eukaryota; Metazoa; Chordata; Mammalia; Rodentia; Cricetidae
Description: lncRNA (ENSCGRG00015038206.1)
Source: RNAcentral